Molecule: ribosomal RNA, 1733 nt
Filed under: human gut metagenome
Description: bacterial LSU rRNA
Rfam family: Bacterial large subunit ribosomal RNA
Source: RNAcentral
GAAACCGGGUGAUCUAGCCAUGAGCAGGUUGAAGUUGAGGUGAAACUCAAUGGAGGACCGAACCGACUACCGUUGAAAAGUUAGCGGAUGACUUGUGGCUAGGGGAGAAAUUCCAAUCGAACCCGGAGAUAGCUGGUUCUCCCCGAAAUAGCUUUAGGGCUAGCGUCGGAAAGAACCUUAGUGAAGGUAGAGCACUGAAUGUGUGAUGGCCCCAUCCCGGGGUACUGAAUACAAUCAAACUGCGAAUGUCAUUAAGGAUGUCCGGCAGUCAGACUGUGAGUGAUAAGGUCCAUGGUCAAGAGGGAAACAGCCCAGACCGCCAGUUAAGGUCCCAAAAUACAGGCUAAGUGGAAAAGGAUGUGGGGAUGCCCAGACAACUAGGAGGUUGGCUCAGAAGCAGCCAUCCUUCAAAGAGUGCGUAACAGCUCACUAGUCGAGUGACCCUGCGCCGAAAAUGUACCGGGGCUAAGCCUGAUACCGAAACUGCGGAUUGUAGGAAACUAUAGUGGUAGGGGAGCGUUGUAUACGAGUAGAAGCCGUACCGUGAGGAGCGGUGGAUUGUAUAGAAGUGAGAAUGCCGGUGUGAGUAGCGAGAUGUAGGUGAGAAUCCUACACACCGAAAGCCCAAGGAUUCCAGGGGAAGGUUCGUCCGCCCUGGGUAAGUCGGGACCUAACGCGAGGCCGAAAGGCGUAGUGGAUGGAAAGCAGGCGAAAGAUUCCUGCACCCGUAUAUGGAGCGAAGGAGUGACGGAGACGGAUAGUGUGACCCUCUUAAUGGAUUGAGGGCGAAGCGAAGCGGCUGGUUACCAGGCAAAUCCGGUAACCAUAAGGCUAGAGCGUGAGAGGUAAGCGAAAUCUUAGGAAAGUAGCGAAGCACAUGAUGACGGCUUCCAGGAAAAGCUUCUGGCAAUGCAUAUGCGGCCCGUACCAAAACCGACACAGGUGGGCAGGGAGAGAAUCCCGAGGUGAGCGAGAGAACUGUUGCCAAGGAACUCGGCAAAAUGACUCCGUAAGUUAGCGAGAAGGAGUGCUUAAGCAAUUAAGCCGCAGUGAAGAGGCCCAAGCGACUGUUUAACUAAAACACAGCUCUCUGCGAAGUCGCAAGACGAAGUAUAGGGGGUGACACCUGCCCGGUGCUGGAAGGUUAAGAGGAUCUGUUAAGAGUGAUCUGAAGCAGUGAUCCGAAGCCCCAGUGAACGGCGGCCGUAACUAUAACGGUCCUAAGGUAGCGAAAUUCCUUGUCAGGUAAGUUCUGACCCGCACGAAAGGUGUAACGAUUUGGGCGCUGUCUCGGCAGCAGACUCGGUGAAAUCUUAGUACCUGUGAAAAUGCAGGUUACCCGCAACUAGACGGAAAGACCCCAUGGAGCUUUACUGCAGCCUGAUAUUGAAUUCUGGUCAUACAUGUACAGGAUAGGUGGGAGACAAAGAGACGUGCACGCCAGUGUACGAGGAGUCGACGUUGGGAUACCACUCUUGUGUGACCGGGGUUCUAACCUGGUAUCGAGAACAGGUACGGGGAGAGUGUCAGGUGGGCAGUUUGACUGGGGCGGUCGCCUCCCAAAGAGUAACGGAGGCGCCCAAAGGUACGCUCAGAUUGGAUGGAAACCAAUCGACGAGUGCAAUUGCAGAAGCGUGCUUGACUGUGAGACUUACAAGUCGAACAGGGACGAAAGUCGGGAAUAGUGAUCCGGCGGUGCCGAAUGGAAGGGCCGUCGCUCAACGGAUAAAAGC